RNAcentral lists this long non-coding RNA (1763 nucleotides) under Homo sapiens (human). RNAcentral's name for it is "HSALNT0367944". The record is from RNAcentral. Lineage: Eukaryota; Metazoa; Chordata; Mammalia; Primates; Hominidae.
CUGCGAUCCACCUACCUUGGCCUUCCAAAGUGCUGGGAUUACAGGCGUGAGCCACCAUGCCCAGCCGCUUCAUCUUUCUUUACUCAUGAAUGUCCUAAGCUUUGUAUUCACAGCUGUUCUCAUGCAUUCAUUCCAUGCCGGCCUUAGAGGACUCGGUCAAGACAAUGGUGCCCUCAGGAAGGUUACGAGAGAGCAAGCUGUGCUGCUUUGCCCAUCUUGGGAUGAGUGGCACUUCAUUACUGAGCCAUAAAACAACGGGGCCCAGCAGGUUCCUGGGCAGUCAAAUGGUCCAACCCUCUUGACUUAGAGAUGCGGAAAAUGAGGCCUUGGGGACAAUGCUGUGUCCAGCCAUAAUGGAGCCCACAGCAAAAGGAAGAAUCAGUAAUAUUGAUCCUAUAUUUAUUUAAAUGUCUGGUAUUUUGUUCAUUAUAGAUUUUUGCAUUAAUUUUUAUUUUUAAAAUGUUACAUUAAAAUAGUCUGUAUCUUGAUGACUGAGUAUUUUUGGUGCCUCUUAAAGUGUGCACCCUGAGCCUGGCCCUGACAGGGACAAUAGGGAGUUGCCCAAGGUGACACUAGUUUUGAUCAAGAGGUUAAAAGAGAGCUUGGGUCUUCCAACUUGUCCACUUCCUUCUUCUCUGUCAGCUUCAAGUGCAAAGUCCUGUUUUUCCAAAUAAGUAGAGAGCUCCAGCAGGCAGGGUGGUGAACUUGUGGAAUAAUAACACUUUCACAUGGUUAUUGCCCAGCCAAAGAAGCAACCAUUUGAAAAUUCAAGAAAUUGCAGAUUUAUUCCUUAAAUAAGGCACUGUUGUUGAAAUAGUAUCAAAAUAUUGAUACUGCAAUGAGAUAAGAGACCUAGGAACACAUGCCAGAAUGUGGACCGUUGGCCCAGCCCAAUCCUCUCUCACCUGCACUGCUUCAGAAACCCCUUCCUUUCCUUCCAAACCCAGCUGACAUCUUUCCAAAGAGUUUUGUGUUUCUGAUCGGGCUUCGCUGCACUUGUGUUUCUCCCACUCAUCUGGUUCUCAGGGCAUAGAACACAGCCCCAGGUACACAGAGAGUGAACAAUCUUCAACAACUGGGCACCAAGGAUCCUGCUCCUUUUUCUUUGUAAUAGCUGCAUGACAUGGUCUUCUCCUGUAUCGAUGUACAAGCUGCCUAUUGAUAGACUUUCAGUUGCUUCUUUUUGUUCUCUCUCUCUCUCUUGUUCUCUCUUUUCUUAUCUUUUUGGCCCCCUUUUUCUCCAGUGUUCUCCACUGCAGAGUCGUGUAAUUCCCUCACAGUUUUCUCAGAGCGAGUACAUAUUCCCUGCCCAGCAUCAGCGUUGCUUGCCAUUAAUGUCCUGUAUCUAUAGGGAUGACCAUGCCCCCUUGGAGGAAAGGCUUGGAACUUACCAACUUAUGGAAACUUACGGAAAUCAUCACUUGGUAUUGAGAUUUUGCAGGGAACACACUCCUUAAAAAUCUCCAUGAGUGUGCUGUUAAGAAUCCCAUAAAGAGGGAGAAAGGUGGGAAGUGAGUGAAGCAAGGCUCAGCCGCCACCACGAACAAAGUGGGGUCCACUUUGCAUCUGCUGCAAAGGAAGGAACGGACAUUUGGCCUGUCUCCUCUUCCUUUAUUGUGUCAUGUUCUUUCCUUUACUCUUCUCUUUUUUAAAACAAGAAAAUCAUAAUUUUAAUAUUAUUUUAAAAAUAGACAAUACAUUCACACAAUUCAAAAUUCCAGUAGUUGGCCAGACACAGUGGCUCAUGCUUGUAAUCCCGGCAC